CUAGGGAUCUUAAUUGAGUUCCGAUGUGGUGA
This 32-nucleotide non-coding RNA is filed under the name Homo sapiens (human). The record is from RNAcentral. Lineage: Eukaryota; Metazoa; Chordata; Mammalia; Primates; Hominidae.